Molecule: long non-coding RNA, 267 nt
Filed under: Elaeis guineensis (African oil palm)
Lineage: Eukaryota; Viridiplantae; Streptophyta; Magnoliopsida; Arecales; Arecaceae
Description: long non-coding RNA (EGUI_LNC013237)
Source: RNAcentral
AAGUAUUAGGUAAAUAACUCUUCUUUCCUCGGCACGCCCCGUAUCCGUAGAUCACGGUGCGUCUUCGGAAAGUAAAAGUUGUUCCUAAUAUUAAUCUAACAAGAAAGUAUAAAUAAAAACAUAUAAAGGAGAGCAAAUAAAGAACUCAUGACAAUUUAAAUAAAAAGCAUAAUCUUUAUUGCAUAUAAAGAAAUACAGGAAAGUUUAGAACAAUAAACCAUCUCUGUGUCGUUACAAAAUUUUUUCUCCACUCCCGAGACUGCUAGC